UGAACGCUGGCGGUAGGCCUAACACAUGCAAGUCGCACGGCAGCACAGUAAGAGCUUGCUCUUACGGGUGGCGAGUGGCGGACGGGUGAGGAAUACAUCGGAAUCUACUUUUUCGUGGGGGAUAACGUAGGGAAGCUUACGCUAAUACCGCAUACGACCUACGGGUGAAAGCAGGGGAUCUUCGGACCUUGCGCGAUUGAAUGAGCCGAUGUCGGAUUAGCUAGUUGGCGGGGUAAAGGCCCACCAAGGCGACGAUCCGUAGCUGGUCUGAGAGGAUGAUCAGCCACACUGGAACUGAGACACGGUCCAGACUCCUACGGGAGGCAGCAGUGGGGAAUAUUGGACAAUGGGCGCAAGCCUGAUCCAGCUAUACCGCGUGGGUGAAGAAGGCCUUCGGGUUGUAAAGCCCUUUUGUUGGGAAAGAAAAGCAGCAGGUUAAUACCCCGCUGUUCUGACGGUACCCAAAGAAUAAGCACCGGCUAACUUCGUG
This 490-nucleotide ribosomal RNA is filed under the name uncultured bacterium. RNAcentral describes it as "partial 16S ribosomal RNA". It matches the Rfam family "Bacterial small subunit ribosomal RNA", at positions 30 to 507 of the family's 1533-position model. The record is from RNAcentral.